UACGUAGGGUGCGAGCGUUGUCCGGAAUCAUUGGGCGUAAAGAGCGUGUAGGCGGCCCGGUAAGUCCGCUGUGAAAGUCGAGGGCUCAACCCUCGAAUGCCGGCGGAUACUGUCGGGCUAGAGUCCGGAAGAGGCGAGUGGAAUUCCUGGUGUAGCGGUGAAAUGCGCAGAUAUCAGGAGGAACACCGGUGGCGAAGGCGGGUCUCUGGGCCGAUACUGACGCUGAGGAGCGAAAGCGUGGGGAGCGAACAGG
RNAcentral lists this ribosomal RNA (253 nucleotides) under uncultured bacterium. RNAcentral describes it as "partial 16S ribosomal RNA". It matches the Rfam family "Bacterial small subunit ribosomal RNA", at positions 524 to 776 of the family's 1533-position model. The record is from RNAcentral.